This 6279-nucleotide small RNA is filed under the name Rattus norvegicus (Norway rat). Its description in RNAcentral is "uncharacterized LOC103693764". The record is from RNAcentral. Lineage: Eukaryota; Metazoa; Chordata; Mammalia; Rodentia; Muridae.
UUGGGGGUACGGAGAGAAAGGGUGGGAGGAAAGCCCUAGAAAAGCCAGGGCCCUAGAGUGGUGAUCCGAGAGAGGGAGAGAGAGCUGGUCAUCUACUUCUCUGGCACUGCUACCGUUACAUUGCCUGCCACCUACUCUGUGGUUUCCCAGAAGACUCUUAGCUCCCACCCACCCACCCGCCCCCCAAAAAAGGUUCUGAGCAAACGCCUGAGGACUGAAAGAGCGGUGGCACAGCUGCCAGCACACCUUCAAGGAUUUAGGAUCACACACACACACACACACACACACACACACACACACACACACACACACCACGCCGGAGCAUUUGUGCAAGCAGUUACAAAAGGAAAACCAUCUCCAGCUCAUCAAUGUUGAGCACUUAUUUUUUAGGAAAAUUCACAUGUAAGCAGAGUGGACUAUUUUGUGUAUCCGAAGAUUUUUUUUCUAUAUUAAAAUGUUUAUAUAAAGAUAGAGAAAUUUCAGGAGUUUUCAAGUUGCGGGAAGAAAGUCACUUAAGAAUAAUGGAUGCUUCUGAUAGAAUUCCUUAUUUCCUAGUAGAAUGGAAAUCCAGUGAAUUAAAACAACUUCCCUUUCACCUCCCAAAGACUGGUCAGGAAUAACUACUAUAUCUAGAAAUUUCUAAAGAGAUCAGCUGUCCUUGAAGAUUAGAAAGUGGAAUGCAAAAACACACUGGUGUUUCUUACCCAAAACUCUAAUUAAUUCACCUGCCUUGCACAGUAAUCAACUCUCACCUCUCCUUCAGUAUCCAAAGAGAGUGUAAAGCAUGUUAUUUAACACAAUAAUUAUGGGGUUGCUUUCCUAUUUGGAAAGUCCUGCUAUGUUUUGGGAGAGUCUUUUUUUUUUUUUUUUUUUUUUUUGGUUUCUCGGUGAGAAUGUGUUUGUAAAUAAUGAGAAUAGAAACUCAGCCUCCUGGGGGACUUGUAAAGACAGAAAGGAGAAGGGAUAGUGCUUUGGGGCUGCAUAAGGGGACUCAAGCUCCCGUUUUUCUCCUCCUGUCUUCUCUAACUUGUUGCACAGAGACGUUUCUUUGAGGAUGUUUGAGCAACAUAGCAUCUGAGCAUAGGUUCUGUGUGUUUGCUGCUUAUAUCUCUAGGAAUCUGGAGUAGUGAGGCAUUGAACCUGUCUACACAUGUUCAGAGAUUUCCUAAGAUGUGAGAAGGAGCUAGCAUUCGACAGACAUAAGAAAUAAACUAUUAUAACAGGCUCUUAGCUUUGAGAAAUUUUAGGAUUUUUUUUUUUUUGCCAUUUAGGUAUUGAAAUGAUCACUUUUCUUUUUAUCUUUUAAAAAUCUAUUGAACUCUUUGAAGUUUAGUGUCAAAGGGUACAGGAAUCUUCUAAAGUGAAAUAUGACACUAUUGUCUUUUUACUCUUGUAUGCUAAACUUUGGGGGCAUAAAUAAUACUUGUAUUGGAAGACUUUAUUACAAUGUAAGAAUUUUUAAAAAAACAUUGCAUAAAAGUAUAUAAACUUCUACAAAGACAGAUGAAGCUUUCACAUCUGUUUGUCCUAGAUAACAAGUGUGUGAUAGCAUAAUGAGGUGAGGUUUAUUAAUUUUUGAAUCAGCAAAUCUAUUCUUAACUAAAAGCAUGGGUUCAGCAUGUAUCCACAAAUAUCAAAAUAUAUCUUUGAAAUAUUGCAAAUUUUUAAAAUGUCAAAUUAUUGCAUUUGUGAAAUACAACACUCUAGAAGGUGUUAAACUCUGAAAGAAGGGGGGAAAACUAAUUUCUUUGUGAAUGCCAUUCCUGACUUCAAUAGAGUCUAAGGUGCUUUUUAAAUGGUAAAUUGUGGAGUAUUUCAAGUCCAGAUACCACAAACAGAAAAGUCGACUAAAGUGGCCAAAGCCUGACCUUACCAUUCCCGUUCUUACAUUUCCUUAAACUAUCACUCUUCCAAAAUCUGCCACACUCUGAGGGGACAAACAGGAAGGGAAGCAGUGCUGCGUAGCAAGCCAUAAUCCCACCCUGCUUCCAGCCUUGGAAGCAACGUUUGGGAGCCCAUUUCUCUACCUAUAUGUGACUCCUCCCCUCCCCCACCUCAGGUUUCUAAACCUUUUCAAGGAACCACCUUUUGCUCCUUCCAGCAAACAAUAGGGUUAGAACAGUCAAAUGUUGCAAAAAUAAAAUACACCGGAAAGAGAACCCCUGAAAAAGCAUAUUGGCUUUAUCUUUUCCUUUCCGAUUUUUGGAGAAACUCUUUCCUUCCAUGAAGAGGUCAAACCGUGUUUAACACAGCACACAGAUCAACUUAAGGAAGAUUUCAAAUUCUCCACUGAAUCUUUAGCAUUGAGAGCUUUUGCCCUGUUUGUUGUUUUACGUCUCUGGUUAUUUAAGAUACUCUCCCUCCAUCUCAUCUUUCCUAACCUUCAUUCAAUUUGUAUAAGCAAAACUCAAAGUACUGUAACUGAUAUUAGAAAAUUCUCCCCAUGUUUUGUGAAGACGCAUUGUGCUGAAAUCAAUAAGACUGUUUAAAAUUCAAAGACCUGCAAAUCGUUCUGUUUGUCCUUUGAUAGGGCCUAUGCUGAUUAAAAUGCUACCAAGAAAGCUUAAUUGCUGCCCUAAUUAAGAAGUCUUUAAUUUCUUUCCUAGGAUAUCGUUUGAAGCUUAGCUUGUACAGUUCAGGGAAGGUAUUUUCUUCCCUCCUUCUGCCCUCUUCUGGCCCCUCCCCUCCCCUCCCCCUCCUUUCCCCAUUUGAGGAGCCGGUUAGAAUAGGAACUAAUAAAAAGAAUGGUCUCAUCAUCUCUUACGCCACAAAAAUCGGCACAGGAUACAGACUUCAUCGUAGUGUGAAAUGCAGUUUUGAGACGAGCUGUAAGCUUUGCAGGAGACAGUGAGAAAUAUAAAGUAGCUGUUGCAGCCAAAGCCCUUCUGAUUACCUGAAUGACAACAGGCACUCUAGUGGGUGAGGAGAGCAUCCUAUUUGGUUAAAAGGCUCAGUGGCAAAUAGGGACAUAUAAAAACAUGCUGCCACAGCCUGUGGUUUCCAAAAGGAAGAAUAAGUGUGUAAAAAGAUGGACUUGUAGUUGGGAUUUGGUAAGUAUCAUUUUAUUUGAGUAUAAAAAGAUGGAUUCUGUGGGGAUUUAUUUUUGACCCUUUUGAUAACUCAGGGAGGCACAGAACUGUAUCACAUCUCUCCCGUUCUUAUCUAUUGGCAGGUUGCAUUCACUGAUUUCUCAAGUGGGGAAACUGACUAAAUGAUUUCACAAAGCUUUCUCUGUAAUCGAUAGUCAUUUUUUAGGUUUAUUCAUGGUGCAUUAUAAUUCUGGUAAAUGACUGCAAAGAAGAAGAUCGUAAGAAAGAUACAAUUAUUGACAGGUCUAGCAUAAGUCAGGUCUUCAUUCCUCAGAGUUUCAAUAUAGCAACUGGUGUGGUGUUUUUCUUUUAAAAAAAAUGAAACUUAAUUAUUUCUAGCAACAUAAGAAAGCAUAGAGGAACUGUGCAAUGUGUGUACGAACCUAUUCUUCUAAUAGCUCACAAUGUUCUGAAAGCUUUGAGCAUGUUGUUUUUAUGAUAUUUCUAAAUGAAACAGCAAUUUAGGCAUAUAUGAAAAGAGAUACACUAAGGCUUCAUUAUAAUUUUAUUCUUUCAUUUUUCGCAAACUCCAUUAGGAGCAUAUAUGUUAGAAAUCACAACUGUAUGCUAUAGAUCUAUACUAAAUUCUUUAUACUGACAGGACAAGGAGAAAACACGCUUAAUAGAUUCAAAGGCAGAUUUACCAUUCUAAGCACGACGUCACUCUAAUUAUGUUUAUCCUAAUUGAAAGCAAGGGUUUUUUUGGAAUCUGAAAUUACUUUCAGAUUUUUUUUAAAUAAUGCAAGUGGAUCAAAUGUUGAUCACAAGCAUUUCAAUCUUUCAAAAUGUAUUGGAAAAUUAAAUGAAAAGUGGAGUUUGGUACAAACAAUGCCCCAGGGCAAAAAACAACUAACACUAGAUUUUCCAGUCCAGCCAUAACACAAAUCAAUUUGAGCACACUUCUAUGGCCAGACUGCCAGAUUGUUAUGACUGCUAAUUCACUCAAUCAAAGACUGCAUUAGCACACCCGGCACAAACAGCCUUAACAAUGGAAUACGUUUCUCAACAGUCCUACAAUACACCACAAUGGCUAAGUACAGAAGACCAUUUUUACAUCUGUGUGUUUACUAAUGGACCUGUUUCCUUAAUAGAAAUUAAAAAAAAAAAAAAACCAACACACAGACUAAGAUAAACUUCAGUCACAGGUUUAUUAAAGAGCUAUCAGUUUGACAAAUCUAGAAAGAUAUCAGGGUACCAGGAGUUCACUGACUUUGUUAAAGAUUUCUCAGGAGAGAGUCCAAAAUUGAUGUUUGCAUUUCAGCAGUAAACCAUGGAAGAUGGAGAAAUAAUGCCAAGUAACUCUCUCAAGCCUUUGUGACUCACGGGGCCUCGCCAAACAGUCCAGCAGAUAAACCUUAGCUACCUUAAGUACAGACUUCAAACUUUAAAAUUCCACACUUUUCCAUCCCCAUUUUUACCCCUCUGCCUGAAUUUUGGUGGCUUUUGUGUGCCUAGGCUCUCUUUCUAUUCUAAUUCUCUGCCUCUCCUUAAGGAACAGGAAUGGGACUUUUCUCUGGCUGUGGUAUUCUCUAGUGAAAAGCAGAGAGUUUGCAGAUGAAUUACUCAAAGCACAGAAGGUGGGAAGCUGAAUCAGGACCUGCCUAACUUCAAGCACUGUGACUUUAUGGUACCAGUUUUGAUACUUAAUGAUGAGGUGGUUAAAAUUGUUUUAAAUAGCAUCCCGUGUUUUUUUUUUUCCUACAGCAGAGAGAUGCAGGGACAUAAGCUUCUGUGUGAACAUAAUAAUCAUCUAUUUGCAAUUCCAAAAUGGUUCAGUGGGAGAACACCAUUCCUCCCUCACUCCUCUUAAACCCUUUCUGCUUAUUCAGAAUAAAGGUCACAAGUGUCAGAAAAUACUUCUCUGGGUUUGUGGCACAUAAUAAGAAAUAUCCAAACUCAGGUAAGGGAAGAAUAGCGUAGUGGUGAAAAUAGAUAACGAAGAAAAAAAAUUCACUGUGGAAUUGUUUUUCAGAUUCUAAAACUGCAUCCUUCCCAGAGUGGGUAGUCAACUCCUCAUGAUGAAUUAGUUAUAUGUUCCUAUAUGUACCUACUUCCAGCUUUUAUUUUCCUUUCCUGUUCCUUACGAAGUCAAAGAAGGGGUCGUCACCCAACAAAUAGCCCAUAAGAUUGUUUUACUCGAUGACAAAACUUUGAAGGACUGCUAGAAAAGAAUAAAUGUUUAUUUAUUUAUUACUUGUUGGACGGAGACUUUUUUUUUAACUUGAAACGAAAACAAUUGCUACCUUCUAGAAGCCUGUUAUUGUAUGUCAAGUUUCAGCCCAGAGCAAAUUUUUACAACAAGUUAUAAACCCCUGUAACAGAGGGUUUAUUAUAAUGGAAAUGCUGACACAACCUUAACUAUAGCGUUGUAAACGGCUAUGCUAUAAUAUCCAUUAAGCAGAAAGAAAAAUAAGCUGGCUGAUCAAUAAUUUAUACAAAGAGUACCAACUGCAGACAUAAUAACUGUAAUGUUUGCAAAGCAAUCUCUCUGCUCUCCAGGCUUAACAGUGAACACAAACUAGCAACGCUGUUAAUUUCCAACUCCUACGGAUAAGAAUACAAACAAAUUACUUAAAAUUAUAUUUUGCUCAACAUUUAGCAUGCCUCAAUGGGAUAAAAUAAAAUUUAAUUAUGAUGCAACUUGUGCAGGAUGCAAAGCUGCUUUGUUUUCCUGAACAUUUUAUUAAGAAGGGACGCCCCUUUGGAACAUCAAUUAUGGGGAAAUGGUAUGUUUCAAUGAGUUUACUUGGGUCAGGGAGGUUCAUGUAAGAGGUAUUCAGACAGGGAAACGGAUCGACACAGCUCAACUUCAAAGAAAGUUAGAGUUUAGAGAGUCGCAAGAUGAAAUACAACACUGCAUGCCUUGAUCCAAGUGAUCUGUCAGUAAAAACACACCUUGCCAUUAGAGUUCAUGGGAAAAAAAAGUCAUUGGUUUGGAAAUGUGUCCAUUAUUAGCAUGCAGAGAAUGUGGGAGUGCUUACCUUUCAAUGGCAUACCUUGUUUUUGUAGGAACACUGUGUGACAUUUCUAGCUAAUAGACCUGAACCACAAAAUUGUGAGCAUUGUUUUCAUUUCUAUAAAAUUUCUUGUCAGUAUUUCCCCAGAUAUCGUUGUCUAUUUAGCCCUCGCUCCUUAAGUUAUCUAAAUACAAACAUGCUGCUGUGAUAACUCCAUUUUAAUGGCGGCUCUU